GCCGGUGUAGCCCUUGGCAGAGGCAACGGAUUUAAAACCCGUUCAGAGUGAGUUCGAAUCUCGCCACCGGCAC
RNAcentral lists this transfer RNA (73 nucleotides) under Corynebacterium glutamicum. RNAcentral describes it as "tRNA-Leu". It matches the Rfam family "tRNA". Rfam says of the family: Transfer RNA (tRNA) molecules are approximately 80 nucleotides in length. Lineage: Bacteria; Bacillati; Actinomycetota; Actinomycetes; Mycobacteriales; Corynebacteriaceae. The record is from RNAcentral.